UACGGAGGGUGCAAGCGUUAAUCGGAAUUACUGGGCGUAAAGCGCACGUAGGCGGUUAUAUAAGUCAGAUGUGAAAGCCCCGGGCUCAACCUGGGAAUUGCAUUUGAAACUGUGUAACUAGAAUACGGGAGAGGGGGGUAGAAUUCCAAGUGUAGCGGUGAAAUGCGUAGAGAUUUGGAGGAAUACCAGUGGCGAAGGCGGCCCCCUGGCCCGAUAUUGACGCUGAGGUGCGAAAGCGUGGGGAGCAAAC
Molecule: ribosomal RNA, 250 nt
Filed under: uncultured bacterium
Lineage: Bacteria
Description: partial 16S ribosomal RNA
Rfam family: Bacterial small subunit ribosomal RNA
Source: RNAcentral